CCUACGGGAGGCUGCAGUGAGGAAUAUUGGUCAAUGGGCGCGAGCCUGAACCAGCCAAGUAGCGUGAAGGAUGACUGCCCUACGGGUUGUACACUUCUUUUAUAAAGGAAUAAAGUGAGGCACGUGUGCCUUUUUGUAUGUACUUUAUGAAUAAGAAUCGGCUAACUUCGUGCCAGCAGCAGCGGUAAUAAGGAGGAUCCGAGCGUUAUCCGGAUUUAUUGGGUUUAAAGGGAACGUAUAGGGUUUUUUAAGUCAGUUGUGAAAGUUUGCGGCUCAACCGUAAAAUUGCAAUUGAUACUGGCAGCCUUGAGUACAGUUGAGGUAGGCGGAAUUCGUGGUGUAGCGGUGAAAUGCUUAGAUAUCACGAAGAACUCCGAUUGCGAAGGCAGCCUACUAAACUGCCACUGACAUUGAUGCUCGAAAGUGUGGGUAUCAAACAGGAUUAGAUACCCGAGUAGUC
Molecule: ribosomal RNA, 460 nt
Filed under: uncultured bacterium
Lineage: Bacteria
Description: partial 16S ribosomal RNA
Rfam family: Bacterial small subunit ribosomal RNA
Source: RNAcentral